GAAAAUUUAGUUUAAAUAAAACAUUAGACUGUCAGCCUAAAAAUAUUAAUUGAUAAUUUUCU
RNAcentral lists this transfer RNA (62 nucleotides) under Alloeorhynchus sp. Its description in RNAcentral is "tRNA-Asp". Lineage: Eukaryota; Metazoa; Arthropoda; Insecta; Hemiptera; Nabidae. The record is from RNAcentral.